This 496-nucleotide ribosomal RNA is filed under the name uncultured bacterium. Its description in RNAcentral is "partial 16S ribosomal RNA". It matches the Rfam family "Bacterial small subunit ribosomal RNA", at positions 899 to 1397 of the family's 1533-position model. The record is from RNAcentral.
ACUCAAAUGAAUUGACGGGGGCCCGCACAAGCGGCGGAGCAUGCGGAUUAAUUCGAUGCAACGCGAAGAACCUUACCUGGGUUUGACAUACACCGGAAAGCUGCAGAGAUGUGGCCCCUUUUUGUCGGUGUACAGGUGGUGCAUGGCUGUCGUCAGCUCGUGUCGUGAGAUGUUGGGUUAAGUCCCGCAACGAGCGCAACCCUCGUCCUAUGUUGCCAGCACGUGAUGGUGGGGACUCAUAGGAGACUGCCGGGGUCAACUCGGAGGAAGGUGGGGAUGACGUCAAGUCAUCAUGCCCCUUAUGUCCAGGGCUUCACGCAUGCUACAAUGGCCGGUACAAAGGGCUGCGAUGCUGUAAGGCGGAGCGAAUCCCAAAAAGCCGGUCUCAGUUCGGAUUGGGGUCUGCAACUCGACCCCAUGAAGUCGGAGUCGCUAGUAAUCGCAGAUCAGCAACGCUGCGGUGAAUACGUUCCCGGGCCUUGUACACACCGCCCGU